AUUGAACGCUGGCGGCAGGCCUAACACAUGCAAGUCGAGCGGAUGAAGGGAACUUUUUCUUGGCUUCAGUGGCGGACGGGCGAGUAAUUCAUAGGUGUCUGCCUGGCAGAGGGGGCUAAGGUAAGGUAACGGGCGCUAAUAUAGCAUACGUUCUGAGGGUGAACGGCGUGGAUCUUCGGAGCACAACCUACCUGCUGAGACUUGGUGGGAUUAGCUAGUUGGUGGGGUAAGGGCCUACCAAGGCGACGUUCCGUAACUGAUCUGAGAGGAUGAUCAGUCACACUGGAACUGAGACACGGUCCAGACUCCUACGGGAGGCAGCAGUAGGGAAUAUUCGACAAUGGGCGAAAGCCUGAUCCAGCCAUGCCGCGUGUGUGAAGAAGGUCUUCGGAUUGUAAAGCUCUUUAAGUUGGGAGGAAGAGCAGUAAGUGAAUACCUUGCUGUUUUGACGUUACCAACAGAAAAAGCACCGGCUAACUUCGUG
This 484-nucleotide ribosomal RNA is filed under the name uncultured bacterium. Its description in RNAcentral is "partial 16S ribosomal RNA". It matches the Rfam family "Bacterial small subunit ribosomal RNA", at positions 30 to 507 of the family's 1533-position model. The record is from RNAcentral.